UGGCUGAUGGUGUAAUGGUAACACAGAGGUUUUUGGUGCCUUUAUUCCAGGUUCGAGCCCUGGUCGGCCAA
This 71-nucleotide transfer RNA is filed under the name Leadbetterella sp. RNAcentral's name for it is "tRNA-Gln". It matches the Rfam family "tRNA". From Rfam's summary of the family: Transfer RNA (tRNA) molecules are approximately 80 nucleotides in length. Their secondary structure includes four short double-helical elements and three loops (D, anti-codon, and T loops). The record is from RNAcentral. Lineage: Bacteria; Pseudomonadati; Bacteroidota; Cytophagia; Cytophagales; Leadbetterellaceae.